RNAcentral lists this unclassified non-coding RNA (359 nucleotides) under Hevea brasiliensis (rubber tree). Lineage: Eukaryota; Viridiplantae; Streptophyta; Magnoliopsida; Malpighiales; Euphorbiaceae. The record is from RNAcentral.
GUUUUUGACUGGUCUAUUCCUGAAAAUUUGUUUGCCAAGUUUUCUGAAAGUGAGAAGAUGAGGCUAUGAAUGGGCAGUUUUUUAGUUGACAAGACUAAUGGCUUUUACAAGACAGUGCAAGAACUUUGGGACGGUGAACUGUAAGCAGACAGAUAUUUCAAAUUAGAUUUCCUUUUUGGCUUCUUCUCUCUUGUAUACACAAAUGUCGAAUAUUUCUUCUGCUUGCAAUUAGAGAAUAAGCAGACAGAUAUAGCCAAAGGAAUUUGGAUAGAAAUAAUGAACUGAGUUAAUGUUCUGUACGCUGUCAACAAAGAUGUUAUAACAUGUUUGUUUUCAAAACUAAUAAAUCUUCUCUACCA